ACUGGGUUGGCCGAGUGGUUAAGGCGUUGGACUUAAGUUCCAAUGAACAAGUGUCCGCGUGGGUUCGAACCCCACACCCAGUA
This is a non-coding RNA of Ciona savignyi (Pacific transparent sea squirt), 83 nucleotides long. Lineage: Eukaryota; Metazoa; Chordata; Ascidiacea; Phlebobranchia; Cionidae. The record is from Rfam.